GCAUGAGACUCUUAAUCUCAGGGUCGUGGG
RNAcentral lists this non-coding RNA (30 nucleotides) under Xenopus tropicalis (tropical clawed frog). Lineage: Eukaryota; Metazoa; Chordata; Amphibia; Anura; Pipidae. The record is from RNAcentral. RNAcentral also lists the same sequence under 2 other names.